GGGCGCUUAGCUCAGUUGGUAGAGCGCUUCGUUUACACCGAAGAUGUCGGCGGUUCGAGCCCGUCAGCGCCCACCA
RNAcentral lists this transfer RNA (76 nucleotides) under Sphingomonas sp. RNAcentral's name for it is "tRNA-Val". It matches the Rfam family "tRNA". From Rfam's summary of the family: Transfer RNA (tRNA) molecules are approximately 80 nucleotides in length. Their secondary structure includes four short double-helical elements and three loops (D, anti-codon, and T loops). Further hydrogen bonds mediate the characteristic L-shaped molecular structure. tRNAs have two regions of fundamental functional importance: the anti-codon, which is responsible for specific mRNA codon recognition, and the 3' end, to which the tRNAs corresponding amino acid is attached (by aminoacyl-tRNA synthetases). tRNAs cope with the degeneracy of the genetic code in two manners: having more than one tRNA (with a specific anti-codon) for a particular amino acid; and 'wobble' base-pairing, i.e. permitting non-standard base-pairing at the 3rd anti-codon position. The record is from RNAcentral. Lineage: Bacteria; Pseudomonadati; Pseudomonadota; Alphaproteobacteria; Sphingomonadales; Sphingomonadaceae.